GACGAACGCUGGCGGCGUGCUUAACACAUGCAAGUCGAACGAAGAGCGAUGGAAGCUUGCUUCUAUCAAUCUUAGUGGCGAACGGGUGAGUAACGCGUAAUCAACCUGCCCUUCAGAGGGGGACAACAGUUGGAAACGACUGCUAAUACCGCAUACGAUCUAAUCUCGGCAUCGAGGAUAGAUGAAAGGUGGCCUCUACAUGUAAGCUAUCACUGAAGGAGGGGAUUGCGUCUGAUUAGCUAGUUGGAGGGGUAACGGCCCACCAAGGCGAUGAUCAGUAGCCGGUCUGAGAGGAUGAACGGCCACAUUGGGACUGAGACACGGCCCAGACUCCUACGGGAGGCAGCAGUGGGGAAUCUUCCGCAAUGGACGAAAGUCUGACGGAGCAACGCCGCGUGAGUGAUGACCGGCUUCGGGUUGUAAAGCUCUGUUAAUCGGGACGAAA
Molecule: ribosomal RNA, 445 nt
Filed under: Veillonella parvula
Lineage: Bacteria; Bacillati; Bacillota; Negativicutes; Veillonellales; Veillonellaceae
Description: bacterial SSU rRNA
Rfam family: Bacterial small subunit ribosomal RNA
Source: RNAcentral